RNAcentral lists this microRNA precursor (103 nucleotides) under Marmota monax (woodchuck). Lineage: Eukaryota; Metazoa; Chordata; Mammalia; Rodentia; Sciuridae. The record is from RNAcentral.
AAUGGGAUAGCUGGGUCAAAUGGUGGUUCCAUUCCAAGUUUUCCAAGGAAUCACCAUGCUACUUUCCAGAUUGGCUGCAUCAAUUUGCAGUUCCACCAGCAAU